CGUGAGUGAUGAAGGCUUUCGGGUCGUAAAGCUCUGUCAAGUGGGAAGAACCUAUGUAAUGUUAAUACCAUUACAUAUUGACGGUACCACUGAAGGAAGCACCGGCUAACUCCGUGCCAGCAGCCGCGGUAAUACGGGGGGUGCAAGCGUUAUUCGGAAUCAUUGGGCGUAAAGAGCACGUAGGCGGCCUGGUAAGUCAGAUGUGAAAGCCCGGGGCUUAACCUCGGAAGUGCAUUUGAUACUGUCAGGCUUGAGUAUGGGAGAGGGAAGUGGAAUUCCUGGUGUAGAGGUGAAAUUCGUAGAUAUCAGGAGGAACACCGGUGGCGAAGGCGACUUCCUGGACCAAUACUGACGCUGAGGUGCGAAGGCGUGGGUAGCAAACAGGAUUAGAUACCCUGGUAGUCCACGCAGUAAACGUUGAUCACUAGGUGUAGCGGGUAUUGACCCCUGCUGUGCCGCAGUUAACGCAUUAA
This 473-nucleotide ribosomal RNA is filed under the name uncultured delta proteobacterium. RNAcentral describes it as "bacterial SSU rRNA". It matches the Rfam family "Bacterial small subunit ribosomal RNA", at positions 400 to 863 of the family's 1533-position model. The record is from RNAcentral. Lineage: Bacteria; Deltaproteobacteria.